Molecule: ribosomal RNA, 1004 nt
Filed under: Klebsiella variicola
Lineage: Bacteria; Pseudomonadati; Pseudomonadota; Gammaproteobacteria; Enterobacterales; Enterobacteriaceae
Description: bacterial SSU rRNA
Rfam family: Bacterial small subunit ribosomal RNA
Source: RNAcentral
UGACGAGCGGCGGACGGGUGAGUAAUGUCUGGGAAACUGCCUGAUGGAGGGGGAUAACUACUGGAAACGGUAGCUAAUACCGCAUAACGUCGCAAGACCAAAGUGGGGGACCUUCGGGCCUCAUGCCAUCAGAUGUGCCCAGAUGGGAUUAGCUGGUAGGUGGGGUAACGGCUCACCUAGGCGACGAUCCCUAGCUGGUCUGAGAGGAUGACCAGCCACACUGGAACUGAGACACGGUCCAGACUCCUACGGGAGGCAGCAGUGGGGAAUAUUGCACAAUGGGCGCAAGCCUGAUGCAGCCAUGCCGCGUGUGUGAAGAAGGCCUUCGGGUUGUAAAGCACUUUCAGCGGGGAGGAAGGCGGUGAGGUUAAUAACCUCGUCGAUUGACGUUACCCGCAGAAGAAGCACCGGCUAACUCCGUGCCAGCAGCCGCGGUAAUACGGAGGGUGCAAGCGUUAAUCGGAAUUACUGGGCGUAAAGCGCACGCAGGCGGUCUGUCAAGUCGGAUGUGAAAUCCCCGGGCUCAACCUGGGAACUGCAUUCGAAACUGGCAGGCUAGAGUCUUGUAGAGGGGGGUAGAAUUCCAGGUGUAGCGGUGAAAUGCGUAGAGAUCUGGAGGAAUACCGGUGGCGAAGGCGGCCCCCUGGACAAAGACUGACGCUCAGGUGCGAAAGCGUGGGGAGCAAACAGGAUUAGAUACCCUGGUAGUCCACGCCGUAAACGAUGUCGAUUUGGAGGUUGUGCCCUUGAGGCGUGGCUUCCGGAGCUAACGCGUUAAAUCGACCGCCUGGGGAGUACGGCCGCAAGGUUAAAACUCAAAUGAAUUGACGGGGGCCCGCACAAGCGGUGGAGCAUGUGGUUUAAUUCGAUGCAACGCGAAGAACCUUACCUGGUCUUGACAUCCACAGAACUUUCCAGAGAUGGAUUGGUGCCUUCGGGAACUGUGAGACAGGUGCUGCAUGGCUGUCGUCAGCUCGUGUUGUGAAAUGUUGGGUUAAGUCCCG